This 441-nucleotide ribosomal RNA is filed under the name uncultured bacterium. RNAcentral describes it as "partial 16S ribosomal RNA". It matches the Rfam family "Bacterial small subunit ribosomal RNA", at positions 338 to 795 of the family's 1533-position model. The record is from RNAcentral.
CCUACGGGAGGCAGCAGUGGGGGAUAUUGCACAAUGGGGGGAACCCUGAUGCAGCGACGCCGCGUGGGUGAAGGAGUGCUUCGGCAUGUAAAGCCUUAUCUGCAGGGAAGAAGCAAGACGGUACCUGACCAAGAAGCCCCUGCGAACUACGUGCCAGCAGCCGCGGUAAGACGUAGGGGGCGAGCGUUAUCCGGAUUCACUGGGUGUAAAGGGAGCGUAGACGGGCAUGCAAGCCAGGGGUGAAAGCCCGGGGCCCAACCCCGGGACUGCCGGUGGAACUGCAUGGCUGGAGUGCGGGAGGGGGAGGCGGAAUUCGUGGUGUAGCGGUGAAAUGCGUAGAUAUCAGGAGGAACACCGGCGGCGAAGGCGGCCUGCUGGACCGCGACUGACGUUGAGGCUCGAAAGCGUGGGGAGCGAACAGGAUUAGAUACCCCUGUAGUC